CACGGUCUCCCUUCGUCCCGAAAUACUUGUCGGAGAAAUGGAUAUAUCUAGAUGUAUUUUAGUUCUAGAUAGAUCCAUUUUUAUGCAUUUCUACGACAAUUAUUUCCAGACGGAAGGAGUAGUAA
Non-coding RNA from Triticum aestivum (bread wheat), 125 nucleotides. Lineage: Eukaryota; Viridiplantae; Streptophyta; Magnoliopsida; Poales; Poaceae. The record is from Rfam.